GGGGUUGACGGUACCCUACUAGAAAGGAGCCGCUAACUUCGUGCCAGAAGCGUCGGUAAUACGGGGGCUCCAAGCGUUAUCCGGUGUUAUUGGGCGUAAAGAGUCGUGUAGGUGGUUGGGUAAGUUAUCUUUCAAAUAUCUUUGCUUAACAAAGAGGAGGGGGAUAAUACUGCUCGACUAGAAUUUUCUCAAGGGAGAUCGGAACUGAGGGAGGAGUAGUGAAAUGCGUUGAUACCCUCGGGAACACCAGUGGCGUAGGCGGAUCUCUGGGAGAAGAUUGACACUGAGACACGAAAGCUAGGGGAGCGAAGCAGAUUAGAGACCUGCGUAGUCCUAGCCGUAAACGCAUGCUUGCUAGCUGCAUGAAUCUACCUUCGGGUGGUAUCGUGUGGCGAAGGUAACCCGUUAAGCAAGCCGCCUGGAAAGUACGGCCGCAAGGCUGAAAUUCAAAGGAAUUGGCGGGGAGGCACACAACCUGUGGAACAUGUGGUUUAAUUCGAGACUAACCGAAGAACCUCACCAGGGUUUGACAUGUAGCUGCACGUCUUAAGAAAUUAAGACUCUCUUGAAGGUGCUACACAGGUGCUGCAUGGCUGUCGUCAGCUCGUUCCGUGAGGAGUGCCCUUAAGUGGGACAACGAGCGCAACCCCUAUUACAUGUUAGAAAUGUCAUGUAAGACUGCCUUGCCAUUUGGCGGGGAGGAAGGAGGGGCAGACGUCAAGUCCGCAUGGUCCUUAUGCCCUGGGCUACACACAUGUUACAAUGAGUACGGCAAUGAGUCUGUCGCGAGCACGUAAGUGUAAGCUAAUCUCUUAAAUGUACUCUCAGUGGGGAUUGAGGUCUGCAACUCGACCUCAUGAACACGGAAUUGGUAGUAAUCGCGGGUCAGCUAUACCGCGGUGAUACGUUCUUGCCUCUUGCACACACCGCCCGUCAAACCAGCAAAGUCGAUUGUAUCCGAACCUCUCUUUU
RNAcentral lists this ribosomal RNA (972 nucleotides) under uncultured organism. RNAcentral describes it as "partial 16S ribosomal RNA". It matches the Rfam family "Bacterial small subunit ribosomal RNA", at positions 465 to 1435 of the family's 1533-position model. The record is from RNAcentral.